Molecule: ribosomal RNA, 253 nt
Filed under: uncultured bacterium
Lineage: Bacteria
Description: partial 16S ribosomal RNA
Rfam family: Bacterial small subunit ribosomal RNA
Source: RNAcentral
UACGAGGGGGGCUAGCGUUGCUCGGAAUCACUGGGCGUAAAGCGCACGUAGGCGGCUUCUUAAGUCAGGGGUGAAAUCCUGGAGCUCAACUCCAGAACUGCCUUUGAUACUGAGGAGCUCGAGUCCGGGAGAGGUGAGUGGAACUCCGAGUGUAGAGGUGAAAUUCGUAGAUAUUCGGAAGAACACCAGUGGCGAAGGCGGCUCACUGGCCCGGUACUGACGCUGAGGUGCGAAAGCGUGGGGAGCAAACAGG